Molecule: long non-coding RNA, 424 nt
Filed under: Neodiprion pinetum (white pine sawfly)
Lineage: Eukaryota; Metazoa; Arthropoda; Insecta; Hymenoptera; Diprionidae
Description: uncharacterized LOC124218452
Source: RNAcentral
GUCGUGCACUCUUCCAUCCUUCAUUCUCGAGCUUUCUUGUUCUUUCGCACCGCGUUUCACAGGUCGUUAGAUACCACGGAUCUCUUGAGAAAAUUACAGAAACCCACGUGGCAAGAAAAGUGGAUAUUUGGAAAAGGUUGAGCAGCUGACAGUCAACUGUGUAUUCGAAAUAUACAACAUACGUUUUAGAAAAUGACACGUAAAAGAAAAAGUAACGACUGCUAUUCAGAUAGACAUAAACGUCGACUCGUUGAACAACAAACUAAAUUAAGUAUUAUUAGAAUGAAGCACGUUAAGCACGUAUAGUACGAAAUGUAAAGUCGUGAACCAAACGCUUUUUUUAAAAUAUACAUGAAAAUAAGUAUAGUUUUUUCUCGAUUUAAACUUAUUAUUAUAAUAUUAUAAUAAUUAAAUUAUUUUUAAA